GGAUAACACCUGGAAACAGAUGCUAAUACCGGAUAACAACAGAUGAUGCCUAUCAACUGUUUAAAAGAUGGUUCUGCUAUCACUCUUGGAUGGACCUGCGGUGCAUUAGCUAGUUGGUAGGGUAACGGCCUACCAAGGCGAUGAUGCAUAGCCGAGUUGAGAGACUGAUCGGCCACAUUGGGACUGAGACACGGCCCAAACUCCUACGGGAGGCAGCAGAC
This 221-nucleotide ribosomal RNA is filed under the name uncultured Lactobacillus sp. RNAcentral's name for it is "partial 16S ribosomal RNA". It matches the Rfam family "Bacterial small subunit ribosomal RNA", at positions 141 to 354 of the family's 1533-position model. Lineage: Bacteria; Bacillati; Bacillota; Bacilli; Lactobacillales; Lactobacillaceae. The record is from RNAcentral.